This is a long non-coding RNA of Uranotaenia lowii, 878 nucleotides long. RefSeq lists it as uncharacterized. The record is from RefSeq and is a predicted model, not a curated record. The transcript is spliced from 3 exons. NCBI's taxonomy places the organism in Eukaryota, Metazoa, Arthropoda, Insecta, Diptera, Culicidae.
UCAAAACGAGAUCUCAUUAUUAUUUCGACAAAACUGAUCGGUCUACCUAUUGUGUACAUCACACAGCAGAGGAUCAAUAUUCCCGCCCUAGCUUGGCAUUGAGUUGAUCAACGUAGGUACUUGAUCACGUUGUACUGAUGAGUGCCCAAGCAGAUCUUAACCAUGAGGCGUCGGCGUCGUUAGAAACUCGAUAAUGACGCGCCAGCGUCGUUUAGAACUCCGAUCGAACUGAUACAGCUUUUGAUCGAGCGAACAACCACGCUCGAGACCAUGCAUCACUAUCAGUUAUCGGUUAACCGUCAAACAGGCUGUGCUAUCGUGUACGAUAUAACUACAACUACUAUAUCGUGUACGAUAUAACUACGAUUCCGCUUUAUUUGAUACGGUGAUAUACGGUGUUCUGAAGAUAGUAUCCAAUAAGUUAUUACAAGUGCCUGACCGGUAAUGCAGCUUUGAGGCUGACACUUAGAAUUCGCGCGUUUAAUGCAUGCUGUAAAUUCGAUCGUUGAGGAAGUCGCCAGCGUUAAAACCGAGAUAUCUUUUGUCUCUAUUGUUAUUUCUGGCCUGGUAAAUUCAACGAUGCGGGACUAAGUAAUUUGAGGUGGAGAUGAGAGAUCGACCUAUUUGUUCCUGAGCUAAAAUUGAUUGUCGCAUAAUUAUCUGGAGUGGCUUCUCUAGCACAAUGGCGCCAUGAGCCUACCCAAGCCAAAUGGGUUUUGGCUUCAAUUGCAUGUGCAUGCUAGAGAAGAUGGCGGACAUCGCGGGAUACACUAUUUUUAAGACACAAACACUUACACACACACACAUUAAUAGUUUUAAGUUGAAUUUUUUUUAAUAAUCAAUUAGUUUAUAAGUAGUUAGGGUAAGUUAUAAAUAAA